This 438-nucleotide ribosomal RNA is filed under the name uncultured bacterium. Its description in RNAcentral is "bacterial SSU rRNA". It matches the Rfam family "Bacterial small subunit ribosomal RNA", at positions 28 to 463 of the family's 1533-position model. The record is from RNAcentral.
GAUGAACGCUGGCGGCGUGCUUAACACAUGCAAGUCGAACGGGAUCCAUCAGGCUUUGCUUGGUGGUGAGAGUGGCGAACGGGUGAGUAAUGCGUGACCGACCUGCCCCAUACACCGGAAUAGCUCCUGGAAACGGGUGGUAAUGCCGGAUGCUCCGACUCCUCGCAUGGGGUGUCGGGAUAGAUUUCAUCGGUAUGGGAUGGGGUCGCGUCCUAUCAGGUAGUCGGCGGGGUAACGGCCCACCGAGCCUACGACGGGUAGCCGGCCUGAGAGGGCGACCGGCCACAUUGGGACUGAGAUACGGCCCAGACUCCUACGGGAGGCAGCAGUGGGGAAUAUUGCACAAUGGGCGCAAGCCUGAUGCAGCGACGCCGCGUGCGGGAUGACGGCCUUCGGGUUGUAAACCGCUUUUGAUCGGGAGCAAGCCUUCGGGUGAGU